This is a long non-coding RNA of Choloepus didactylus (southern two-toed sloth), 427 nucleotides long. RefSeq lists it as uncharacterized. The transcript has 3 exons. The record is from RefSeq and is a predicted model, not a curated record. NCBI's taxonomy places the organism in Eukaryota, Metazoa, Chordata, Mammalia, Pilosa, Megalonychidae.
UUUGUUCCAUGUUUGUGUGACCUGGGAGCUCCCCUGAACUCUCGGGUCUGUGCAAAACUUGAGGCUCAGAGUUGGAGUUCUCGAACUCCUAAAGUACUGCAGAAGCAGCACUGAUUCUAAAAGAUGACUCCAUACAGCAAUUGUUGAAGAAGGUGAAACAUGGGGUCGGACUCCAGUUGGAGCUGUGAGUUGGGCUGAUCUGGUCUCGACUACAUGUCACAGGCUCCCACAGUGUGAUCCCAAAACCAGCUACAUGGCUGCAAGGAAUCAACAAUGGGCCCAGCUGUGCCCCACUGGGGUACGUGUUUUUCUGUAUUUGGAUAACUGGAGAAUAAAGCCUGGACGCUGCCACCCUAAAUGGCCGCAGGAGGCUUCAAGCUGCAAGACUCUUCCCAUUUCACCAGUCGGUGUACGCUGGCACUUCACC